UUUUCCAAAAACAUAGCCAAGUUCAAGUCUACUAGGUGAUACCUGCUCAGUGGUCAAUAAUUAAAUUAACUUAAAAGUUAAAAAUUUGACUAAACAGCUGCCUUAAUCCUAGAGGGUACUAAGUAAGCAUAAUCUGAUGCCGUUUGAUUGGCGGAGAGUUGAAUGGAUUAACGAGUGCAUACCUGUCUUAUCAAAAGAAAAAUUUAAUUAGACAUUUAAGUGAAGAGGCUUAAAAUAAUAGAAAGACGAGAAGACCCCGUGAAGCUUUACUAUAAACUAACUUUAUAAUUUUUUUUUCUUUAUUUUUUUUUAUUAAAUUAGCCAAUUUUGUUUAUUAUUAGUAGUUAGUUUGGUAGUUUGGGUGGGGCGCCCGCACUUUAAUAAAAACAAGUAGUUGAUAACAUAAUUAUUAAGACUAUAUAAAUUACUUUUUUAUUUAGGGUUAUUUUACUAUCAAAAACCCUUACUAUUUAAAUAAUAGUAGGUCAUAGAAUAAUAGCUACUCCGGGGAUAACAGGGUAA
RNAcentral lists this ribosomal RNA (522 nucleotides) under Diphyes chamissonis. RNAcentral's name for it is "partial 16S ribosomal RNA". It matches the Rfam family "Bacterial large subunit ribosomal RNA", at positions 1803 to 2485 of the family's 2925-position model. Lineage: Eukaryota; Metazoa; Cnidaria; Hydrozoa; Siphonophorae; Diphyidae. The record is from RNAcentral.